Molecule: RNA transcript, 6143 nt
Organism: Lagenorhynchus albirostris (white-beaked dolphin)
Lineage: Eukaryota; Metazoa; Chordata; Mammalia; Artiodactyla; Delphinidae
Gene: TTF2
Gene name: transcription termination factor 2
Exons: 26
Source: RefSeq, a predicted model, not a curated record
UUCGGGGAAGAGGAAAGAAGUAGUGGGAUGGAAGUGGUUGGGUGUCCACAGCACGGGACCUUAUGUUUUCUGAAGACCGGCGUCCGAGAUGGCCCGAAUAAAGGAAAGAGCUUCUACGUGUGCCCGGCGGACACAUGCAGCUUCGUGGGGGCCACCGACAUUCCUGUUUCUCAUUGUUUAUUGCAUGAGGACUUUGCGGUAGAGCUUCAGGGUCUGUUUCUAUCACAGGGCGAGAAAGAAUACAGGUUAUUCUUCCGAUGUGUUAGAAGUAAGGCAGAGGGGAAGCAAUGGUGUGGAAAUAUCCCAUGGCAGGACCCUAAUUCCGAAGAACAUUCUGUAACCAGUAAGUCUCAGCAUGCCUCUGAGAUAUCUCGUUAUCCUUCCAGCCAGCAGAGAAACCCGUUCAAGUUAAUUGACAAGAAUCAAGAACCAUCCCUCUGGAAGCAGUUCAUCAAAGGUGAAGAUGAGGAAAAGACAGCUGAUAAGAAGCAAAGGGAAAAGAGAGAUCCACUCCUGGAUCAAAAGAAGGAACAGAAGCCUGAAUCUAAGUGCUGGAUGGAGGAAGAUCUCUCAUCUGGCCUGGUGGUAAAGGAAAAACAAUCAGCUGUUCAAGAGAUGCAGCGAGGGGAGAAGACAGAGUUUCGUAGUGCUGCAAAGGAGGUUGAAGGGGUGCACAAAAGAAACCUAUUUGAGAUGAAAUCCAAACAGGUCCGUGGGAAUGAGCUGAGAGAACCGUCUGCAUCUCAGGAGCAGUCAAAUGGUGAGAGACAUUCUCUCCAAAAAGAAUCAGAACCUCCAAGGGAAAAGGAAACUAAGCCUUUGCCUCGAAUUGUUCACAGUCAACACCCAAUAAGCCAGUCCCUGAAAGGGGGACACCUCAGCAAGGAGCACCCCAAGAGCUGGGAGGCUAGAGAAACAAAGGCAAAGAAGGACGCAAGCACGCAGACCCUCCAGAAAAGUCUGCUCCAGGGCCAUUUGCAGGCACAGCCGGAGACCCGGGGCACGCCUGCUCCAAAGGGACCGGCUGCUCAGCCUGCACCGCUGGCCGCAGGGCACCCCCAGGGAGAGAUGCGAGACGCUGAUACAAGCAGUGGUGACAGUGAGGAAGGUGAUGUUGUUUUUUUUUCCUCUAAGCCAGGGAGCCCCUUGCUCUUUGACUUGACUCUAGACUCACAGAAGAAGAAGAACCUUAAAUUCCCUGGUCAGAGUGUGCAAAGAAAAAUUUCUCCUUACUCAGGCGUUUCCAAGAAGGGAGAACCUUCAGACCCAGAAGCCCAACGUGUGUACCUCACAACACAGCUGAAACAAAAGAAGAGCACAUUGGCAUCUGUGAACAUCCAGGCUCUUCCAGACAAGGGUCAGAAGUUGUUCAAGCAACUUCAGGAGCUGGAGGAUGCGCUGAGUGCCCUGGCCCUCUCCCCAGAGCAAGGCACUAAUGAGAAGAGUAACACUCAAGUACCACAGCAGAGUAACUUCACCAAAACGACCACUGAUCCUCCCCACUUGGUGCCUCCCAAACCCCUGCAGGGCCGGGAUCUCCAGCCUCUGGGUUGUCUAGGACUGAAGGCUGCCCACCAGGAGGCUGCUGGAGGGUCUGAUCAGUGCUGUGGAGGCCCUAUGAGCCAAGGUCACCUUCGCGCAGUGUGGCAAAUCACAAGUGAAGCCAUUGAUGAGCUGCAUCGAUCACUUGAGUCACGUCCUGGCGAGACAGCUGUAGCAGAGGAUCCAGCUGGGUUGAAGAUCCCUUUGUUGCCGCACCAGAAGCAGGCAUUAGCCUGGCUGCUAUGGCGGGAAGGUCAGAAGCCACGAGGAGGAAUCCUGGCGGAUGAUAUGGGGUUAGGAAAAACCCUCACAAUGAUUGCACUCAUCCUGACCCAGAAGAACCAAGAGAAAAACAAAGAAAAGGACAAAACCACGGCUUUGGCUUGGCUUUCCAAAAAUGACUCCUCUGAGUUCACUUCCCAUGGAACACUAGUCAUCUGUCCUGCUUCCCUGAUCCAUCAUUGGAAAAGUGAGGUGGAGAAACGUGUGAGCAGCAACAAACUAAGAGUCUAUCUGUAUCAUGGGCCAAACCGGGAUCAACAUGCAAAAGUCCUCUCCACAUAUGACAUCGUGGUCACUACCUACAGCCUUCUGGCCAAGGAGAUUCCCACAAAGAAGGAAGAGGGAGAGAUGCCAGGUGCAAACCUCAGUGUGAAGGGUGUCUCAUCACCUUUGCUUCGAGUAGUCUGGGCUCGAAUCAUAUUGGAUGAAGCUCACAAUGUUAAGAAUCCCCGAGUGCAGACUUCCUUGGCUGUGUGUAAGCUCCAGGCCCAAGCCCGUUGGGCUGUCACUGGAACCCCCAUUCAGAACAACUUGUUGGACAUGUAUUCACUGCUGAAAUUUCUCCGUUGUUCUCCAUUUGAUGAACUCAGUCUGUGGAGGAGUCAGGUUGACAAUGGUUCAAAGAAAGGAGAAGAACGGUUAAAUAUUUUAACCAAGAGCCUUUUGCUGAGGAGAACAAAAGACCAGCUGGACCCCACCGGCAAGCCCUUGGUGGUGCUCCCCCAGCGUAAAUUUCAGUUGCACCAUUUAAAGCUUUCUGAAGAUGAAGAAAAUGUUUAUAGUGUCCUUUUUGCAAGAUCAAGGUCAGCUCUGCAAUCCUAUCUAAAAAGACAUGAAAGUGGGGGCAGCCAAUCUGGAAGAAGCUCUGAUAAUCCAUUCAGUAGAGUGGCCCAGGAGUUUGGGUCCAGUGGGCCUGGGCUCUCCGUGGCAGCAGACUCGCAGACAUCUAGCACCGCCCAUAUACUGUCACAGUUGCUGAGACUCCGCCAGUGUUGUUGUCAUCUUUCUCUACUGAAGUCGGCCCUGGAUCUGAAAGAGCUGAAGAGUGAAGGCCUGGUCCUUUCCCUGGAAGAGCAGCUCAGAGACUUGACCUUGUCCGAAUUCCAUAACUCAGAGCCGUCCGCCUCCAUUUCCCUUAAUGGCAAAUGCUUCAAUGUGGAGCUUUUUGACGACAGGAGAGAGAGCACCAAGAUUUCAUCUCUGUUGGCAGAAUUGGAGGCAAUCCGAAGAAAUUCAGGGUCCCAAAAGAGUGUCAUCGUCUCUCAGUGGACCAGCAUGCUGAAGGUUGUAACCUUGCACCUUAAGAGGCAUGGACUGACUUAUUCCACCAUCGAUGGCUCUGUUAACCCCAAACAGAGAAUGGACUUGGUGGAGGCAUUUAACAAAUCCAGGGGCCCUCAGGUUAUGCUAAUCUCUCUCUUGGCUGGAGGCGUUGGUCUAAACCUGACUGGAGGAAACCAUCUUUUCCUUCUGGACAUGCACUGGAAUCCGUCACUUGAAGACCAAGCUUGUGACCGAAUUUACCGAGUAGGGCAGCAGAAAGAUGUUGUCAUACACAGAUUUGUUUGUGAGGGAACAGUGGAAGAGAAGAUCUUGCAGCUCCAAGAAAAAAAGAGAGAUUUGGCCAAACAGAUUCUAUCAGGAACUGGAGAAGUUGUCACCAAGCUCACCUUGGCCGAUCUCAAAGUCCUUUUUGGCAUCUAACUUCCUGUUUAUGGAGCUCAGAAUAGUGCCAUUGUUGGUUUGUAUUAGGAUCUGGGGAGAAUGACCUAACCCUGGUCCUUUGAGCUCUCGUUGGCAUUCGGUUUCACCUUCAAGCCCUCCUCAAAGUGAGGAUCCGUUACCAUGUUAACCACUUGGUUAACCAGUCAUGUUAAUCAAUCAACGUAUUUAAUGUGUGACAUAGAAACCAAUAAAUUACUUCAGAUAAGAGCAAAUGCUUUAGAGUUAGAGAAUUUGGAAAACAGCCCUGGGAGAGUUGUACCUAAGCUUCAGUAAAAGCUUAAAAAGCCCUCUGUUGCUUUUCUCUUCUCAGCUGGUGGGGACCCAAUGUUAUUGCCUUGUCUAACACAGGCUCCAUCCCAUCUCUUCAUCUCCUGCCAAUGAGGCUGCUCGUAUAACCAUCUCUUUAUGGGCUGAGCAGAAGCAGCUCUCUGCGUAAUAUGUAGAUGAGACUACAUUUCCUAGUCUUCACUGCAGUUACAUGGGUCCAUAUUACUGAGUUCUAAGUCAGUGGAAUAUGGAGAGAAGUGAUGUAAGUCAUUUCUUAUCUGCCUUUCUGAAACCUUGCAAGUGAUUCUUUGUGCUGUUUCUUCUCUUGUUGGCCCACUGAAUACAAAGGAACUGAUGGAUGACUGCAGGGCCCUAGAGACUUGUGAAGCCACUAGGUCAGAGAUUCUUAACCUACUGCUGGCCACGGACCCCUUGGCAGACUGUUUCUUCAGAAUUAAGGUCAGGGGUUCUCUGGUGAUCUGAAGCCGUGACCACAGACCCAGGAAGCCGUCAGAGGGCCACCGUCCUCAGUACACUCCUCGAUGCGCUCUGCCCACCUGCCCAUGCGCAUUCUGACUUCUCGACUGCAUUCCUAGAAACAAAGCCUAAGUCUGAACACCCCGAAGCUGGUCGCUGUGGUAGUUGAUCCCGCCGCCGGGAGACAGCAGCAGAGGGAGAGCGAGGGCUUUCGGGAGCGACUGGUUCUCCUUACCCGGCAUGGUGCCUCCACAUGCGCAGCGAGCAGUCUUCUGGCCUCCGCUGGAGCAGAACGUGCAGCAGUGAAACACGCCUGGGUGUGAGCGGUGCCGUUUCCUCACGGUCACAGUGAAUGGUGAGCCCUUCAAUGUUCAGACCAAGAGCAAAGAACAGCACCUUGUGAGUCAACAGGGGUGUGCCGAGCGUCACACAUACUAAACGGAGUGUAAGUCGCAGGGCCUGUCCCUGGAGGGACGAGGACAGCAGGAGGGAAACAGCGACUGGGGGACAGCAGCCGGCUGGGCGCUGAGCUGGAUGGGGCCAGAUACAAAUGCAGUGAGAGGGGGAGUCAAGGAAUCCGUGCUGCUCUCCCAGCAUGCAUGCCACCUGAUGCACUAGGAAACCCAACUGUGCUUUCACGUCACUGACCUUGGUCUCUAUCUCCUCCAUUCCUGAGCAAGCUUGGGUAACUAUAGAGCACACAACCACAAGGUGAGGACAUCUGUGGUCCUUUCUCCAGUUUCUCGGCCACACACCCCCUCCCCUCACAUGCUGAGCCAGCUCCUCUCCUUCCAUCCCUCCAUCCUGGACACAACUGUUUACCCAUCCCCUUUACUCUGGGUUGGUGAAGAUAGAUGGAAGGGAGGAAGGUUAAAAGCCUGUGGUUAAUAAUUCUCAGAUUGGGCUUCCCUGGUGGCACAGUGGUUGGGAGUCCGCCUGCUGAUGCAGGGGACGCGGGUUUGUGCCCCGGUCCGGGAGGAUCCCACGUGCCGUGGAGCGGCUGGGCCCGUGAGCCAUGGCUGGCUGCUGGGCCUGCGCAUUCAGAGCCUGUGCUCCGCAACAGGAGAGGCCACGGCAGUGAGAGGCCCGCAUACCGCAAAAAAAAAAAAAAAAAAUCUCCGAUUAGAAACUCUCCUGCCUCUUUUCAUUCAAGGAUAACUUCCAUUCUCCAAUUUCUACCCUAUGUUAAACAGUAAAUAUUUAAUAACUGUUGUUAUGUGCUUAUCCCUGCAUGAGAACCACACGUUCUGCAAAAGCACAAAGCAGAGAGGCUGGCACCUUAGAAGCCUUUCAAAUGUUAAAUCUCUCUUCCUUUAAAGAGUUUACAAUCUGUUUUAAAAACAACCUGGAGUUCAAAGCUAUGGGUUCAAAUUAUGAUUUUUCCACACAGGUACUGUGUAUUGUGGCAAGUUUGUUUUCUCGGUCCAGUUGGAUGAUGAUCCUUAUGCCUCAGUGAUUUGGAGGAAAAGUGAAAUAAUGUUUGUAAAAACACCUAACCCGGCUUCCCUGGUGGCGCAGUGGUUGGGAGUCUACCUGCCAAUGCAGGGGACACGGGUUCGAGCCCUGGUCCGGGAGGAUCUCACAUGCCGCGCAGCGGCUGGGCCCAUGUGCCGCAACUACUGAGUCCGUGCGCCACAACUACUGAGCCUGCGCGCCACGGCUAUCAAAGCCCGUGUGCCUAGAGCCCGUGCUCUGCAAUGGGAGAAGCCACUGCGAUAAGAGGCCCGCAUACCACAAUGAGGAGUAGCCCCCACUCACCACAACUAGAGAAAGACCGUGCGGAGCAAUGAGGACCCAAUGCAGCCAAAAUAAAUAGAUAAAAUAAAUAAAUUUACAAAUAAAUAAUUAAU